This 76-nucleotide transfer RNA is filed under the name Candidatus Acetothermia bacterium. Its description in RNAcentral is "tRNA-Arg". It matches the Rfam family "tRNA". Rfam says of the family: Transfer RNA (tRNA) molecules are approximately 80 nucleotides in length. The record is from RNAcentral. Lineage: Bacteria; Candidatus Bipolaricaulota.
GCGCCCGUAGCUCAGGGGAUAGAGCGCUGGCCUGCGGAGCCAGAGGACGCAGGUUCAAAUCCUGCCGGGCGUACCA